CCAGACAGCUGAGACGGCCCGGAGGCUCUUUUGAAGGAAGCUAGCGGAAAAUUGCUUCUCAGCUUUCCAACGGUGCUCCAUUUCGCUUUCUCAAUACUUCGGCGUACACUUCAAGUUAACUUUGCGAUAUAUACCUCAAUCCACGACGAUAAGUUUCUUCAAAUUCUUCCGCGAGUGCGAACGCAUAAAGGGUCAUCUGCCACUCAGAACAUCACAAGAACAACAACAAUAGAUGAUGACGAUGAGAUGGGAUUUUUCACCCCGUCUCAUGGGGUGGUGCAGUACCCUACCCCAUUGCACGUGGAACAUCAUGUGAAGGUUACGGAGAAAUGGUGGAAACACGAGACAGAAAGCGUCUGGAGAAAUCCAGUGGAUGACAAGAAGUCCAUGAAGAGGUGAAGGACCCGACGAUGGAGCACAGGAUUUUCAUAUGGGCCAAUGGGUGCAGCUAAGUUGAGCAGAACAGAUAAGUGUAUGACGCAACAACACCAAAGCAUGAUUUAAAACUGUUUAUACAACAUGUAUAUUGUAUAAACCAAUGUAACUAACCUUAACCAAUGUAUAAACUUCAUAACAGGCUUGGAACAUA
Long non-coding RNA from Ornithodoros turicata, 589 nucleotides. RefSeq lists it as uncharacterized. The transcript is spliced from 2 exons. Lineage: Eukaryota; Metazoa; Arthropoda; Arachnida; Ixodida; Argasidae. The record is from RefSeq and is a predicted model, not a curated record.